AACGAACGCUGGCGGCAUGCCUAACACAUGCAAGUCGAACGAGACCUUCGGGUCUAGUGGCGCACGGGUGCGUAACGCGUGGGAACCUGCCCUAGGUUCGGAAUAACUCCCCGCAAGGGGUGCUAAUACCGGAUAAUGUCUUCGGACCAAAGAUUUAUCGCCUUUGGAUGGGCCCGCGUUGGAUUAGCUAGUUGGUAGGGUAAAAGCCUACCAAGGCGACGAUCCAUAGCUGGUCUGAGAGGAUGAUCAGCCACACUGGGACUGAGACACGGCCCAGACUCCUACGGGAGGCAGCAGUGGGGAAUAUUGGACAAUGGGCGAAAGCCUGAUCCAGCAAUGCCGCGUGAGUGAUGAAGGCCUUAGGGUUGUAAAGCUCUUUUACCCGGGAUGAUAAUGACAUUACCGGGAGAAUAAGCUCCGGCUAACUCCGUG
This 432-nucleotide ribosomal RNA is filed under the name uncultured bacterium. RNAcentral describes it as "partial 16S ribosomal RNA". It matches the Rfam family "Bacterial small subunit ribosomal RNA", at positions 29 to 507 of the family's 1533-position model. The record is from RNAcentral.